CAACAGUCUCUUUCGGCCCACCAAUGAGUAUUGCUCUUCCCUAGGUAGGAAAAAUCCAAGAGUUUCAUAACAAAGCUAUAAAAUAUUUGGGCUGACAAAGUGUUUUAACAUUAGGAUGAGUGAUAGGUAGAGAAAAAUCCAGCCAUUUAAUUAACAAUCGAAGCUGAUACUGAGAUUUGAAAGCAAAACACAUCCUGUGUUUCACAGUAACGACAAGCAAUGCUGAAGACAUACUAUGCGCUAUCUACCCAGUAGGUCACAUACUACUGGGCUUGUGAAACUAAGGGUUACUUAACUAUGAAGGGGGGUGGUUGGCAACGGUAAAAGACUUCUGCUGGUGCAACAGCCAAAACAGAACCCAAAGUCAAGUGAACGAUGAGCCUGAGGUGUUCCCAGUGCUCAGUCAAGCUGCACUGCACAACUUCACUGCCGCUGUGCCUCUGAGCACAAGUAUGCACAAGUGGAAGCACAAUGAUUCAAUGAUAACCACAAGCGCGAAAUAUUUACUAUUGCCCUUCUUCAUCUGGGUACCUAUGGGAGCCAGAGCAUCGGAUUCUACAGAUCUGGAGUAACAAGACUGUUGUGAUCAGAUUGUCCCCUGAUCUCUACCUGCACACAUACAUGUUCCCCACAUGCACACAAAAUAAGUUAAUAAGUUGGGGCAGGGAACCCAUAAAAUGUAAUAAAAAAUUG
RNAcentral lists this long non-coding RNA (693 nucleotides) under Cricetulus griseus (Chinese hamster). Its description in RNAcentral is "lncRNA (ENSCGRG00015041383.1)". The record is from RNAcentral. Lineage: Eukaryota; Metazoa; Chordata; Mammalia; Rodentia; Cricetidae.